Oncorhynchus kisutch (coho salmon) is the source of this 940-nucleotide long non-coding RNA. RefSeq lists it as uncharacterized. The record is from RefSeq and is a predicted model, not a curated record. The transcript is spliced from 4 exons. Lineage: Eukaryota; Metazoa; Chordata; Actinopteri; Salmoniformes; Salmonidae.
GGACCUGUCAAAUCAGUGAGCAGCUGCUCUUGAUCAUUGUCACAAUGCUACACCGUGUUACAAGUUCAGAACGAGAAAGUGUAGGCUAUUUAGAAAUAAUGACGACCAAAUUGAAAGGCAUUCAAUGAAAUUAGGAUUUCUAUCAGCCUAAUUGAGGUGUAUAGGUGGUGAGCCGUAAGCAAGCUAUCUGCAUGAGUUUUCGAGAUGAUAGAACUCUGAGGAGCUGUUUUUUUUUGCCUGUUUUUUAAAAACAUAUUGUGUAUUUUUAUUUCUUCUGAAAACAUUUACGUUUCUUGGCCAUGUCAAUUCUUGCAAAUUUUCACAAAAUACUGACUUUCAUGUUCGCUAGCUGGACAGGCAAACGCCGCGGAGAACUAAACUGUAAACCAAUCAAAACGUGUGUACUAUUCAUGGUACGAUCUACAAUCACGUUAUCCGUAACUAAUGUAGAGACAGCUGGUAAUGAAGAGUUCGACAGAGAUCUCCCUCUGACACAGAUUGACAUGAGGAUGUUAGCUUCUUGCUAUCUGAAUACCAGUGCUCUCAGAACCACGUUGUGAAGUUGAUGAUAACAUUAUUUGAAUUUAUGGGUGAGAUGAGGAUCUUCUGUUCCAUGUGGGGUUAGUGCAUCACCUGGACAGUGUGUUUAAAGCAGAGCCACUACAGUUUAUGCAUUUCACUUUGUACUUAUUGUACUCCGAUUGUACACUUAACUAACAGAUUUAUUUCACUUGAUUGUGAUUUGGACUGAACAUUACUUUAUGGUGACUUCAUCUUGUGGUGAUUUCCCUUCUACAUUAUCCUAUUUUAAGUUUCGAAAGAAUAAACAACCCCAAAUUAGUUUGUCUUGUGCUGGGUUUACUUUCGCCAGGCUACAUUUAUAUACUGCUUAAGACACCUUUGCUAUUUGUCUCUGUACUCAAUAAACGGCGCUUCAUUA